CCUACGGGUGGCAGCAGUGAGGAAUAUUGGUCAAUGGGCGGGAGCCUGAACCAGCGAAGUCGCGUGAAGGAAGAAGGUACUUAGUAUUUUAAACUUCUUUUGUCGGGGAACAAAGGCGGAGACGCGUCUCCGAGUGAGUGUACCCGAAGAGAAAGCAUCGGCUAAUUCCGUGCCAGCAGCGGCGGUAAUACGGGGGAUGCGAGCGUUAUCCGGAUUGAUUGGGUUAAAGGGGUGCGCAGGCGGGAGAUAAAGUCAGCGGUAAAAUGUCGGGGUUCAACCCCGGACGGUCGUUGAAACUGGUUUUCUAGAGUGGGAGAGAAGUAUGCGGAAUUCGUGGUGUAGCGGUGAAAUGCAUAGAUAUCACGAAGAACUCCGAUUGCGAAGGCAGCAUACCGGCUCCAUACUGACGCUGAGGCACGAAAGCGUGGGGAUCGAACAGGAUUAGAUACCCUUGUAGUC
This 459-nucleotide ribosomal RNA is filed under the name uncultured bacterium. RNAcentral describes it as "partial 16S ribosomal RNA". It matches the Rfam family "Bacterial small subunit ribosomal RNA", at positions 338 to 795 of the family's 1533-position model. The record is from RNAcentral.